CAAAUCAGGUAGGAUUAACCGCUGAACUUAAGCAUAUCAAUAAGCGGAGGAAAAGAAACUAACAAGGAUUCCCCUAGUAACUGCGAGUGAAGCGGGAAAAGCUCAAAUUUGUAAUCUGGCGGUCUUGGGCCGUCCGAAUUGUAAACUAGAGAAGCGUUAUCCGCGCUGGACCGUGUACAAGUCCCCUGGAAUGGGGCGUCAUAGAGGGUGAGAAUCCCGUCUUUGACACGGACUACCAGGGCUUUGUGAUGCGCUCUCAAAGAGUCGAGUUGUUUGGGAAUGCAGCUCAAAAUGGGUGGUAAAUUCCAUCUAAAGCUAAAUAUUGGCGAGAGACCGAUAGCGAACAAGUACCGUGAGGGAAAGAUGAAAAGAACUUUGGAAAGAGAGUUAAACAGUACGUGAAAUUGCUGAAAGGGAAACGCUUGAAGUCAGUCGCGUUGGCAGGGGAUCAGCCUUACUUUUGUGGGGUGUACUUCCUUGUUGACGGGUCAGCAUCAGUUUUGGUUGCUGGAUAAAGGUUAGGGGAAUGUGGCACCCUCGGGUGUGUUAUAGCCCCUGGCUGGAUACAGUGGCUGGGACUGAGGAACUCAGCACGCGCAAGCUGUGCUUAGGAUGC
This 616-nucleotide ribosomal RNA is filed under the name Hohenbuehelia mastrucata. RNAcentral's name for it is "eukaryotic LSU rRNA". It matches the Rfam family "Eukaryotic large subunit ribosomal RNA", at positions 1 to 626 of the family's 3401-position model. The record is from RNAcentral. Lineage: Eukaryota; Fungi; Basidiomycota; Agaricomycetes; Agaricales; Pleurotaceae.